GUUUAAACUUUUAGGAUUUCAAAUUUUGUGACUAUUCAUUCUCUCACCUAUCAAACAUCUCCAAAUUAUUUUCCUCUUUUUUCUCUUGUGAAACUUCUCUCAAUUCUUCGUUCUUUCUCUUUUACUCAUGUUUAUUGUUCAUUUUUAUUAUUGAGUUUCAGACAGAUUCGGUUUUGUUUUUGAUUUUGUGUUUUUUUUUCAGGUUUGGUGAUGUUGGCUUACGCGGAAGGGGAAGAUUUGCCGAUGGUGCGACUUCUGAUGGCUCCAUGUGCAGCGCCUUUGUGACCUAAAAAGGAAGUCGGAAACGAAUCGUAACCUUAUGACAAUACCAUUUGAUACUCGAAAAACUUAAUCGGGUUUUGAGAUUUAUCAGUUGGGGACUAGAACGGGAACAUCGGUUUUGGAGAUGGUUAUAUCUUUUGACUUUUGAGCAGGCUUUUGGAAGGUUUAUGUGAGUUUAUGCAGGAAAUUACAGCUUCUGUACCAACAGAUAAUUCAAAUUACAGCUUUUGACAAACUUAUGUUAGAUGCAAUUUCUUAAUUUGGGUUACGACAUACCGCAUUAUUGGAAUCAGGACUUCACUACGAGAGAACUUGCUUACAUGCUUAACUGCAUAUCCUAGAAAAAUAAUGUUCUGCCAUCUUUGGAGCUGUGUAACAUGAUCAUGCUAGCCUUUACUAAGAAGCUGCCAAAAUAACCGAACCGUGCUAAAGGCCAGUUCAAGGGAACUUCUUAGAGGACCACUGUAUUAUGCUGCAGCUAUUACUUUCACAUGCAUAAUGUAUUGGAGAACUUUGCCAGUUUUGAUUGCUGCAGUCGUAUGGCUGACGUUGUCGGAAGGAGAUUUGGUAGUACAAAAAAUACCUUACAACAAAAACAAGUCCAAAGCUAGAUCAAUUGCAAUGGCAUCUCCUGGAUUCUUAGCUUAUAUUGGAGAUUACUUGUGCAAGACCAGAAAUAAUAAUCUUCUUGCCGGACAGAGAUGCCGAGUGGCCGUUUCCCUGAUUUGAAUUUGCAGCCAGGUUCUUCUUAUUGACAAUGUUAAAUAUUUUGUCAAAAUAGUCAUAAAGGAUGUCUCAACAUUAAUUGCUUCCUGUGCAGAGGUCUCUAAGAAAAAUAAACCUUUUUUCUCAGCAAACUCUUUUGCAUCCUCUGUCGGUACCACAUGCUGGUCCUCAAGAUCACUUUUGUUUCCUAUAAGAAUGAUGUCUAUGUUCUUGUCAGCAUGAUUAUGUUGUUCUUCUAACCAUAGGUAUGUGAUCAAAGCUCGGACGUUUGGUAAUGUCAUAAACCAACAUUGCCUCAACAGCACCCCUGUAGUAUGCAAUUGUAACUGCUCUAUAUCUAUAGAAAAUUCCAUUUAAAUAUAUAUCAGGAAAAUUGCAAUCAAUAUUCAAUGUACUUGUAAUGAUAUGAGGUUAUAGAUGUCAAUUUCUUCUUGAUUUUGAGCAACACGUCAAGCAUGGGUUAGUCGGUGUUACGCCAGAUAAGCAUCCUUUAGGUGGUCAAGAUGUAGAUGUUUCAUCUCUGGGAUGGGCGAUAUCGGCAUUCUCAUCUAGAGAUAGAAGUUUGUCUCAUUUUCUUUUUAGUUGUUAGCUUAUGGUUGUUAUUCAUUCAUUUUCUAGAAAAAGAAAAUAGAUAGAAACAAGAUAUGACACGACCAAAGGCAUUUUGCAUGAAGCAUUUUAAAGCCCAAGUUCUUCCUUUUUUUUCAUCGAUUAUCUUAAGGUAGCACUGUAAAUUUAGUUCUUCAUUAUCUAAAAGUAUCAUUUUGUUAAGAGUUAUUAGUUCUUGAAACUUUACCAUCACUAUUAUUAGUUUAUUAUGACCCUUAUAUUUUGUCAACAGUUUAAAUUAAAUUCAGAGAUUAUAGCAGCAUGUAUCCAUGUCCUAUUGACAUUGGCCAUUGUUGUUCAUACUUACUCUUACAGUCUUAUCGAUGUGCGUCUUUAUUGUCCUUUUCUGCAAAAUAUUGCAUGAAUCAUUUAUCAGUUUUGCAUGUAAUUCUAAUUUUGAGAGCUGGUCUUGCUCUUGCUGAACAUUCAUCAUCAAUCUUGCCUGCUACAUAAACAUAUCAUUUAGGUUUGUCUCAAAAUGAAGAAUGGAACUUUGAACUAUUUCAAAGGAAUAAUGCUCAUUCUUUGAUAUUUUAUAGUUUUUGCAUUAGGUGCAGGCUAUCAAGGCAUGCUACUAAGUAUCAGGAUGUUUUGGAGCUAUUAGAUCUCUCUCCAAGUCAUAGGGAAUGGUUCAAGAUAUGUGUUACUUCAACAAAGAGUUUCUGGGCCAUAGUAACGCAAGGGCUCUUUCUUAGUUUAACAUGUAUCUUGAUAAUAAUAGGGAUAUAAUUUUCUUGCUCUCAAAACCUUUACUAAAUUGAUGAUUAAUAAAGUGGAUUUCCUUGCUAUCAGAAUUCGUAUUAGUUUUCUUAAGCUUGAACACACAAAUUAGGCUUUAGUAAUAAUAUUUAUACCGAAUGAUGCUGCAACAAGUUUUGAAUUAUGUUUUUCACUUACUGCCGGACACAGUUCAUGUUGUGGAGUCUAAGCCUGCCAAAAGAUAUGGAGAUUACUUCCUGCGUCAGGUGGUUAAGCUUGAAGGAGUGAUCAAUGAGAUGGACAAUAUAAAGGUAGAGUGAGUUGAUACAUUUCACACCCUUGCUGGUUGCUCUUUCCAAUAUGCUUUGCCGCCAAAAUUUUGUUCAUUUCCCUUUGAAAUGGAAGGAUGUAGUUAGCUUCCUACAUGUGAUACUAAAUACUAAUUAUUAAAGUUUAUUUUAUUUAGAGAACUAAUUUAUGUUUUCAAA
Long non-coding RNA from Vicia villosa (hairy vetch), 2804 nucleotides. RefSeq lists it as uncharacterized. Lineage: Eukaryota; Viridiplantae; Streptophyta; Magnoliopsida; Fabales; Fabaceae. The record is from RefSeq and is a predicted model, not a curated record. The transcript is spliced from 8 exons.